AUGCAGAUGGCACCAGGAAAUGAGCCGUGCCCACGUAGUGGAAAUAAAGAAUCUAACCGCCACCGCGUCCUCCUCCGGGCCGCCUCUCGCAGGGGAUGCAUUCCAGACACGCAGUGCGGUUAUAAAGUGGCUUGUCCUCGCCAUGAAGAUUGUUUUGUGGUGAUCCACAGGAGCGCGUUUCUACAGUACUUCUGCCAGGAAUGUACCACAGUGUUGAUUUUGGCAAACCGACGAGCGCUGAAAACAAACAUGUUCACAGAUGCAUGUUUUGCAGACAUUUUGCAAACUUUGCAUAUUUUCCUCACAAUUUAUACAUAUAACAUAAAAAUAUUAUUUAAAAUUAUUUUGUAUUAUCUUUCAUGCUUCCUGCUGAUGCAUGUGCACAGAUAGACAGAGCAGGGUGUGCCUAUAGGCUGUGAUCUCCAUGCAUGCGAGUGGUGUUGGGUGCACGGCCCGAUGUGCUGAGUCCUUCAUGUGUGCGUGUUGUCGGGUGGAUAAAUAGGCCUGGGGCCUAUUUCAGAGUGACACAUG
This 531-nucleotide long non-coding RNA is filed under the name Betta splendens (Siamese fighting fish). Its description in RNAcentral is "lncRNA (ENSBSLG00000006331.1)". The record is from RNAcentral. Lineage: Eukaryota; Metazoa; Chordata; Actinopteri; Anabantiformes; Osphronemidae.